GAACACUGAAAUUUAUGAAACACACUUCCCUGCUGUAUUUGAUGUACUUCCACUGAUGCGACCCCAGCACUGUGUGUGUGUGUGAAGAAGAAGGCUGCCAGUGUCCUCCAGUAAAAUCCACUGCCCAUUACCAAGUUUUACUGAUGAAGGAGAGUUUAUGUCUUAGAUAUAAGAGAGAUGGACAACGUAAAGUCAACCUUGGGUUUAUCACUAGAAUCUACACUGGGAAAACGGAAGUUUUCUUAAGUGAGGAAUCUGCCCUUCUCUGACUCCCUGCCUUCCUCUUUUCUGCUGGAAUGCAGCGUACUUCAGAAAGCUGGAAUGUCAUCAGACAAACUGAGACCUAGAAAGCAGAAGCUGCAAGCUGAAGUUCAUGGUGAAAGCACACAGGAGUCUGGAUCCCCAAGUAUUUCCUGAAGCUGCCCCACACAUUCUGGGUUACCUCUCUCCAGACUUACUUCAUACAAAAAAGAAGUAAGUUUCUAUUUUGGCCAUUUUGCAUUUGAUUUCCUAAAAUUACAGAUGACAUAGUUCUAAAUUUAAAAAAAUAAUAAUAAAUCUAAGAAAUAAUUUAAAAAGAGAAAUAAAAUGCAAAUGGCAGCAAAAUAUUAUCUGCCUAUUAUAUUGCCCAUAGGGCAAUGGAACCUAAUUUUUAAGAAAAUUGGUUACUGUUUUCAUUAUUUUUUUCUUUGAAUUAUUUCCUAGAUAUGUCCAUAAUGAAUAGUUUCACUGGAUGUAUCAGGCUUCUUCUGUCCUUCAAAAGAGAAAAGAAAAUAAAAACCCACAACAUUUUAUAAUUGGAGUGAGCAUCAAGACAUUUUAACCUAAC
Molecule: long non-coding RNA, 829 nt
Organism: Cervus elaphus (red deer)
Lineage: Eukaryota; Metazoa; Chordata; Mammalia; Artiodactyla; Cervidae
Exons: 3
Source: RefSeq, a predicted model, not a curated record